Polypterus senegalus (gray bichir) is the source of this 328-nucleotide long non-coding RNA. RefSeq lists it as uncharacterized. Lineage: Eukaryota; Metazoa; Chordata; Cladistia; Polypteriformes; Polypteridae. The record is from RefSeq and is a predicted model, not a curated record. The transcript is spliced from 4 exons.
CACCGAUCAGGCACAAGGAGCAGUAGGAGCAAAUAAGAUGUGACGCUGUAUAAAUACUCCACCAUUGCACUAGCUGGGACUUUGGGCCUCGUGGUGCUGGUUGCUUUGUAUUUAAAAAUCAAAGAUUUCAUCUUCUCCCCACACCUAACAGACCAGAAGGCACGAGAGAAUGUCCGAUAUGAAGCUUUAGACCAGUCAAGAAGAAGAAGAAGCAAACUUUAAAACAGGACAUGCUGACAUCAAUCAACGUGACACCAUAGCUGGGUGACGAGAAGGCCGAGCGAGGAGAUCCACGUUGGCAUUUUGUUCAGCAUUUGUGACAACCUUA